Molecule: long non-coding RNA, 118 nt
Organism: Oncorhynchus tshawytscha (Chinook salmon)
Lineage: Eukaryota; Metazoa; Chordata; Actinopteri; Salmoniformes; Salmonidae
Exons: 2
Source: RefSeq, a predicted model, not a curated record
GUCAGAGGUAGAUAGAAGACGUGGUCAGUAGAGUCAGAGAAAGAAGAUGUGGUCAGUAGUGUCAGAGAUAUAAGAUGUGGUCAGUAGUGUCAGAGAUAUAAGACGUGGUCAGUAGAGU